Molecule: unclassified non-coding RNA, 246 nt
Filed under: plant metagenome
Description: partial contains small subunit ribosomal RNA, internal transcribed spacer 1, and 5.8S ribosomal RNA
Rfam family: Eukaryotic small subunit ribosomal RNA (bases 1-54)
Source: RNAcentral
GGAAGUACAAGUCGUAACAAGGUCUCCGUUGGUGAACCAGCGGAGGGAUCAUUACAGGACUCGCAAGACUCCUUCACCCUGCGAACCUCACUACAAGCACGUUGCUUCGGCGGGUGUCCCGGCGGGGGUUUUCCCUCGCCGGGGCGCACAGCCCGCCGGCAGCCUACUAUACUCUGUCUCUUUGCGUUGGCAUCUCGAGAAAAAACAAACAAGUUAAAACUUUCAACAACGGAUCUCUUGGUUCUG